Molecule: non-coding RNA, 766 nt
Filed under: Macroglossum stellatarum
Lineage: Eukaryota; Metazoa; Arthropoda; Insecta; Lepidoptera; Sphingidae
Source: RNAcentral
UUAUGGUUUUAAAAAUUUAUUUUAAAUUUAUUUUACAUAUAAAUUUUAGUGUUAAAUAUUAAUUAUUUUAAUAAUAAUUUUUUUUUUAUGUAGUAAUUAAUUUUAAAAAUUUAAGAAAUUAAGAUUUAGUAAUAUUUAAAUUAAUAACUAAUUUUGUGCCAGCAGUUGCGGUUAUACAAAAAUUAAUUUAAAUUUUUUUAGUUAUAAUAAUUAAUUUAUUUAAAUAAUUUAAAUUUUAAUUUAUUAAGUGAAAUUUUAAUUUAAUAAAAAAUUAUUUAAUAAUUAUGAUUUAAUAAAUUUUAUAAAAAACUAGGAUUAGAUACCCUAUUAUUAAAAAUUUAAAUUUUAAAGAACUAAAAUAGUAAGUAAUUUUUAUUGAAACUUAAAUAAUUUGGCGGUAUUUUAGUUUAUUUAGAGGAAUCUGUUUAAUAAUUGAUAAUCCACGAAUAAAUUUACUUAAUUUAAUAUUUUGUAUAUCGUUGUUAAAAAAAUAUUUUAAAAUAAUAAUAAUAUUUAAAAAUUUUAAAAAAAAAUUAAAUCAGAUCAAGAUGCAGAUUAUAAUUAAGAAUAUAAUGGAUUACAAUAAAUUUAUUUAAUUUGGAUUUUAAUAUGAAAAGAUUAAAUGAAAUUGGAUUUAAAUGUAAUUUUAUUUAAAUUAAUAAAAUGAUUAUUAAUUAAAAUAUGUACAUAUUGCCCGUCGCUUUCAUUUAUAAAUUGGAAUAAGUCGUAACAAAGUAGAGGUACUGGAAAGUGUUUCUAGAAAGAU